RNA transcript from Lotus japonicus, 4219 nucleotides. It is a transcript of the gene named heat shock 70 kDa protein 18-like, with no coding region annotated. The transcript is spliced from 6 exons. The record is from RefSeq and is a predicted model, not a curated record. Lineage: Eukaryota; Viridiplantae; Streptophyta; Magnoliopsida; Fabales; Fabaceae.
UCUGUCUCUUCUCUUCACUUCACUUUUCUUCUUCCUUCUCUUCUCACACUAACAACCAUUUCUCUGUUCUUCUCUUUCUUCAUUCUCAGAUAUCUAUGGCCGCCGGUAAAGCAAAGCGUCCUAUUAUCAUCGGAAUCGACCUCGGCACCACCUACUCCUGCGUCGGAGUGUGGCAGCACGACGCCGUCCAAAUCAUCGCCAACGACCAGGGCAACCGUACCACCCCUUCUUACGUCGCUUUCACUCAUUCCGAACGCUUAAUCGGUGAUGCCGCCAAGAGCCAGGUCACCAGAAACCCCACCAAUACUGUCUUCGAUGCUAAGCGUUUGAUUGGAAGGAGUUUCUCUGAUGAUUCAGUUCAGAGUGACAUCAAGCUAUGGCCAUUCGAGGUUAUUGCUGGUUCAGCCGACAAGCCUAUGAUUGUUGUUAGCUACAAGAAUGAGGAGAAGAAGUUCACAGCUGAGGAGAUUUCCUCCAUGGUCCUUAGCAAGAUGCGUGAGAUUGCUGAGGCUUAUCUUGGUUUUGCUGUGAAGAAUGCUGUUGUUACUGUCCCGGCGUAUUUUAAUGACUCCCAGCGCCGGGCCACCAAGGAUGCUGGUGUCAUUGCAGGCCUCAAUGUCAUGCGUAUACUUAAUGAACCUACAGCGGCUGCCAUUGCGUAUGGCCUUGACAAGAGUGACACCGGUGAUGAUGAGAUCAAUGUGUUGAUUUUUGACCUUGGUGGUGGUACUUUUGAUGUCUCUCUUUUAACCAUUGAAGAUGGUGUCUUUGAAGUUAAUUCCACUGCGGGUGACUCGCAUCUUGGAGGUGAGGACUUUGAUAACAGGAUGGUGAACAAUUUUGUUGAGGAGUUCAAGAGGAAGCACGAGAAGGACAUUAGUGGGAACCCGAGGGCUUUAAGAAGGUUGAGGACCGCAUGUGAAAGGGCAAAGAGGACUCUCUCAUCCACUGUACAGACCACCAUUGAGAUUGACUCGUUGUAUGAAGGUGUUGACUUAUACACUGAUAUCACUCGUGAAAAGUUUGAAGAGCUCAACAUGGACCUCUUCACGAAGUGCAUGGAGCCAGUUGACAAGUGUUUGAAGGAUGCUAGGAUGGACAAGAGCAGUGUCCAUGAUGUUGUUCUUGUUGGUGGGUCUACUAGGAUCCCAAAAGUGCAGCAGCUGUUGCAGGAUUUCUUCAACGGGAAGGAGCUCUGCAAGAGCAUCAACCCAGAUGAGGCUGUUGCUUAUGGAGCUGCUAUUCAGGCUGCUAUCUUGAGUCAUGAGAGUCAUGAGAAGGUUAAGGAUCUUGUGUUGGUGGAUGUCAUUCCCCUUUCACUUGGUGUGGAAACUGCUGGUGGUGUCAUGACUGUCCUGAUUCCAAGGAACUGUCCAAUCCCAUUCAAGAAGGAGCAGGUUUUCUCAACCAACUCAGACAACCAGCCUGGUGUGUUGAUCAAGGUGUACGAGGGUGAGAGAACAAGGAGCAGCGACAACAACUUGUUAGGUAAAUUUGAGCUUUGUGGCAUUCUUCCUGCUCCAAGGGGUGUUCCUCAGAUCAAUGUUUGCUUUGUCAUUGAUGAGAAUGGUAUCCUGAAGGUCUCUGCUGAAGAUGAGACUACUGGUGAGAAAAACAAUAUCACUAUUACAAAUGACGAGGGGAGACUCUCGAAAGAGGAGAUUGAGAAGAUGGUGCAGGAGGCGGAGAAGUACAAGGUCGAGGAUGAGGAGCACAAGAAGAAGGUCGAUGCCAAAAAAGCCUUGGAGAAGAUGGUGCAGGAGGGGGAGAAGUACAAUUCUUCAAAAGAUAGUCCAUAUCAACACUUGGAGGCACAAGUACAACAUGAUACUUGCCAUGAUCAGAUUGCAUUACCAACUCCUAGUUCAAGUUUACAAUCCUUUCCUUCCGGAAACUUUGGGUAUUAUUUCAACUCCACAAAAGUGGCUUCACAGAAAAUUAUAAAGGGACUAAAAGAUGAUAAUUGCUAUGUACUUGGAUUGUAUGGAAAGAGAGGCUCUGGUAAAACAGCAUUACUGAAAGCUGAGAUAGAAGAGUAUGAAAAGAUUUUUCGUAGAGUGGUAUUUCUCACCGUGUCUGAGAAUCAAGAUAUCAAGAGCAUUCGAGUGGGAAUUGCUAGCUCCUUGAACGUGUUUGAAAAAGAUGACAAUGAUGGUGCGAGAAUAAUGAAAAUAAUUUUGGCAUUAGAAAGGAAGGAUCGAACUACUCUUGUUAUCUUGGAUAAUUUUCCGUCGAAGUCUAAACUGCAAGAAUUAGGUGUUCCUUAUAAUAGUAAACAGUACAAGUUCCUUUUGACUGCACGUAAUGAGACAGACUGCAUCUUGAUGGGAUGUGAUCAUUUGAUUCCUCUCGAGCCCUUAUCUAAUGAGGAAGCUUUUUCCCUGCUACAAAAACUUUCAGGCGUUGACUCCCAGAUUGAUCUAUUUAAAGUGGUACAGGAUGUUGCUUUUAAAUGCAAUGGCUUACCGGGUUUAAUUAAAGACGUGGCGUUUUCCUUGAAAAAUAAGUCUAUUGAGAAGUGGCAAGAAUCAUUAGUCAGUCUAAGCCACUCAACAGCCCGCUACCAAAUUUUUAUCAGUUUUAGAGGAAAGGAUACUCGGGAGACUUUCACAAAUCAUCUCUAUGAUGCUUUAUGCAAAGAGGGAUUUGAGACCUUCAAAGAUAAUGAAGCAUUGGAGGGUGGAGCCCCAAUUGAGAAACUUCUUGAAGCCAUUGAAGAAUCAAGGUUUGCAAUUGUUGUUUUGUCGGAAAACUUUGCAGACUCUAAAUGGUGUCUUAAAGAACUAGUCAAGAUUCUUGACUGCCGGAAGAGGAAGAAACAAUUGGUUUUGCCAAUUUUUGUUGAAGUGGAACCAACCGACAUAAGGCAUCUAAAAGGGAGGUAUGGUGAAGCUAUGGCUGAACAUGAAAAAAAGUUAGCAAAAGAUUCUAAGACAGUACUGGAAUGGACACUGGCUUUGAGUGAUAUUUCCCAAUUGAAAGGGGAACAUUUCUACAUUUCUAACUUCAAACGAGAGCAUUACGAAAGGGACAGAGAUCAAUUUAUUGGAAAGAUCAUAAGAUUUGCCCAUAAUAACAAACACCGCUUGCAUAUACAAAGCAUGUACAUGAACUAGAUGAAAGACUUCAGCUUCUCUUCAAGCGAGUGCAACAUAAGGCAGAGCUUGCUGCACAUGGUUUUUAGCUUGUUGUAGGUUUCCAUUGCAAGUCUCUUCUUCCUACUCGCUAACCAUUGAAGAUAACUGCAAGGUUUUGUUGCAACUCUCCUCUCUAUGGUGUACAUUGUAGGUUUUAGUUAUCUUUCAUUUGAUGACUGUAUUAUGUUAUUGUGUACGAUUCCCCAUUCCUUAAUUCAUUGUGAUUUUUCAAUUUUGGAUGCCCUUGGUUGCAUCUUCCAUGUUUGAUAAUAGGAGACAGAACAUUAAAUCAGUUCUGGAUGGAUGAAGAUUGUGAGUAUCUCUUCCCUUAUUUUCUUCCAAUCAUAUCUGUUAACUGUUUACCACAUCUGUGAAUAAUUCUCUCAUUUCUACAUGAUUAUUAUUUAUUUUGACAACCAGCUUAAUCUUAAGUCACUAUGCUGUUGAGUUUUGGCUGUAAUUGGUUAAUUAUAGAAGCUUCUCCCUGUAAUUGAAAUGAGUUUGGCCAAAAGACAGGCAAAGAAAGUAACCUGAUUAAUACGCUGAUAAGCAGAAGAUGGAUUUUUACAUCUUGGAAUUGUUGACUCAGCCUCACCAUUUGGUUACCUUUCUGGGAUACAUACAUAAUAAUAUUGGCACAAGGCCAGUUCCUAAACGAAUUACUUGUUCUCCCAACAGACUUCAUCUUCAGUCAAAGAUGUGAUAAUUUAUAUCCUUGGACAGUGUUAGCACUCAGCUUUCUGAAGAGGAUAGGAGGUUGUUAUCGGAAGUAGCUACAAGAAGGACUCCAGGGGUUAGCAAAAGAUGCUAACAUAAUUGACUUUACAACGCUGGGAGGCUGAGUAUCAGCUCAGAGGGUAAACACAUAUUAGACUGCACAGGAUAGGGGGCCCUGUUUGUGGAGGCAAAAGGAAACUGUUCCUUGGAAGAGAUUGUUGACAUCAUAAAGCCAGGGACUCUUAGUAAGCUGGUUUAUGAUAUCUUAGGCUGUACAUGAAUCACUACAUGUUUGAUGGCGUUAGUGUUAUCUGCUAUGUAGUUUGUGAACUCAUGGAGUGAAAUGAGCAUUUCUUACUGUUCAA